AAAAAAAAUAUACAACACACAAGGUAUAUAAAAUCUAAGAGCCCAAUGACUAGUUGGAAGUAGUGCAAAGUGAGUUCUUUUUAUUAAGUUCUUUUUAGUGAGUUGUAAGCUAAUUUGUGCUUUGAAUUUCACAACACAUCUCGCCUGCAUUUUCUAAGGUAUAGGUUCGACAUUGUGUUGAGAAUAUGGUAGCAACCUCGAAUCUUGAUGAACCAUCUUUUUCUGAUCCAAAAAAAAAUGGUGGAUUUAGUCAGGUACAUCGAAAAGGGCUACCUAUUGUCAAAGGUCAGCGGGCUUGUGAUGAGGAACCCGAGCAUAGGUCCG
Molecule: long non-coding RNA, 324 nt
Filed under: Phoenix dactylifera (date palm)
Lineage: Eukaryota; Viridiplantae; Streptophyta; Magnoliopsida; Arecales; Arecaceae
Description: long non-coding RNA (PDAC_LNC020455)
Source: RNAcentral